This 460-nucleotide ribosomal RNA is filed under the name uncultured bacterium. RNAcentral's name for it is "partial 16S ribosomal RNA". It matches the Rfam family "Bacterial small subunit ribosomal RNA", at positions 338 to 795 of the family's 1533-position model. The record is from RNAcentral.
CCUACGGGAGGCAGCAGUGAGGAAUAUUGGUCAAUGGACGAGAGUCUGAACCAGCCAAGCAGCGUGAAGGAUGACUGCCCUAUGGGUUGUAAACUUCUUUUAUAAAGGAAUAAAACGAGGCACGUGUGCCUUUUUGCAUGUACUUUAUGAAUAAGGAUCGGCUAACUCCGUGCCAGCAGCCGCGGUAAUACGGAGGAUCCGAGCGUUAUCCGGAUUUAUUGGGUUUAAAGGGAGCGUAGAUGGGUUGUUAAGUUAGUUGUGAAAGUUUGCGGCUCAACCGUAAAAUUGCAUUUGAUACUGGCAGUCUUGAGUGCAGUUGAGGUAGGCGGAAUGCGUGGUGUAGCGGUGAAAUGCUUAGAGAUCACGAAGAACCCCGAUUGCGAAGGCAGCUUACUAAGCUGUGACUGACAUUGAGGCUCGAAAGUGUGGGUAGCAAACAGGAUUAGAUACCCUUGUAGUC